CAAGAAUACUUCAGGGAAUCCAUGAUACUCUAGCUUGAAAGAGAAAUCACCUGUACCAGGAUCAUCGCUGCUUUUCCAGGAACUCAAGUACCUGUCUAGACCCGUGUUCAGAUCCCAGCCUAACUUCAUGUCAGGUUUCCUGAAUCUAGCAACUGCAUAACUGGGUUUCGCGCAUUGGUUUGGUUGGAUGACCAUACGACUUUCCCAGCUAGAUCAAAUAGAGCAAUGCUUUGAUUGAAGAUUUUGAAGGUUCCAGAGGAGUUUGAAAGAGGGUUGUCUCUGUUAGCAACCCACACAUAAGUUCUUGGUAUGUUCUUGUACCAUAUCCCCACAUACCAGUUUCUUGAAUUGCCAGGAGUGAAGAAUCCAAGCUCAAAGCCCUGGCUUGUGGAGAUGAGAGUUUGGCCAUUUAUGAGAGAUUGUGUUGCUGUUAAGGUGUCUAAAGAUGAGGCAAAUUUUGAGGAGAAGAGAGAAAGGAAAGUGAUGAAGAAGAACAGAGUGGUUGUGCCAUAAUGGUGCCUCAUUGUUUUAGAUUUUAUGCUUCACUAAUUUGGUCUCUCUCUGUGUCUCUAGUGUGUGUUUACAGGCAUUUUGCUUUCUUCAUCUCGAAGAUACUUGGUGAUGGUUGCUAGGAAGAGAAGAAAAAGGAGAAAUUGUCUUGUUCUUGAAA
Molecule: long non-coding RNA, 670 nt
Organism: Populus nigra (black poplar)
Lineage: Eukaryota; Viridiplantae; Streptophyta; Magnoliopsida; Malpighiales; Salicaceae
Exons: 2
Source: RefSeq, a predicted model, not a curated record